AACUGAAGAGUUUGAUCAUGGCUCAGAUUGAACGCUGGCGGUAGGCUUAACACAUGCAAGUCGAGCGGAAACGAUGUAGCUUGCUACAGGCGUCGAGCGGCGGACGGGUGAGUAACGCGUAGGAAUCUGCCUAGUAGUGGGGGACAACCUGUGGAAACGCAGGCUAAUACCGCAUAAGCCCUGAGGGGGAAAGGAGGGGAUCUUCGGACCUUUCGCUAUUAGAUGAGCCUGCGUGAGAUUAGCUAGUUGGUGAGGUAAAGGCUCACCAAGGCGACGAUCUCUAGCUGGUCUGAGAGGAUGAUCAGCCACACUGGGACUGAGACACGGCCCAGACUCCUACGGGAGGCAGCAGUGGGGAAUAUUGGACAAUGGGCGCAAGCCUGAUCCAGCCAUACCGCGUGUGUGAAGAAGGCCCUAGGGUUGUAAAGCACUUUCAGAAGGGAGGAAAGGGUGUUGCUUAAUACGUAAUAUCUGUGACGUUACCUUCAGAAGAAGCACCGGCUAACUCUGUGCCAGCAGCCGCGGUAAUACAGAGGGUGCAAGCGUUAAUCGGAAUUACUGGGCGUAAAGCGCGCGUAGGUGGUUUGUUAAGUCGGAUGUGAAAGCCCAGGGCUCAACCUUGGAAUUGCACCCGAUACUGGCAGGCUAGAGUACGAUAGAG
RNAcentral lists this ribosomal RNA (661 nucleotides) under Marinomonas sp. MED121. Its description in RNAcentral is "bacterial SSU rRNA". It matches the Rfam family "Bacterial small subunit ribosomal RNA", at positions 1 to 656 of the family's 1533-position model. Lineage: Bacteria; Pseudomonadati; Pseudomonadota; Gammaproteobacteria; Oceanospirillales; Oceanospirillaceae. The record is from RNAcentral.